Molecule: non-coding RNA, 261 nt
Organism: Glossina fuscipes fuscipes
Lineage: Eukaryota; Metazoa; Arthropoda; Insecta; Diptera; Glossinidae
Source: Rfam
ACGUUGUGGAUCAGCCACUACAUCACAGUCACGUGAUUUCAAUACGAAAACAUUUCACUUUUUCCCAUAUACAACAAACAUUAUUAUCCUUGGAUAGUCAACAGCCAGCAAACGCUCGUUGUUACUGUCGUUGUUGCCGCAAUUGCUGCGACUGCAGUUACUGUUACGACUGCUGUACGUGUACAGUGUGGUUGGCAAAAAGUUCAUGUUUUCAUUCUUAUAAUAUUUCAUGUGAUGUGACGUAGUGGAACAUUCCUGACG